GCAAGUCGAGCGCUCACCUUCGGGUGGGUGCGGCGGACGGGUUAGUAACGCGUGGGAAUAUACCCUUCUCUACGCAAUAGCCUCGGGAAACUGAGAGUAAUACCGUAUACGCCCUUCGGAGGAAAGAUUUAUCGGAGAAAGAUUAGCCCGCGUUGGAUUAGAUAGUUGGUGGGGUAAUGGCCUACCAAGUCUACGAUCCAUAGCUGGUUUGAGAGGAUGAUC
RNAcentral lists this ribosomal RNA (222 nucleotides) under uncultured bacterium. RNAcentral's name for it is "partial 16S ribosomal RNA". It matches the Rfam family "Bacterial small subunit ribosomal RNA", at positions 57 to 305 of the family's 1533-position model. The record is from RNAcentral.